UGCCACCACCUCACACACCACCUUUCAUUUGUCCUGUUCAUUACUAGACCUUCCUCUCAUGUUUUUGAAUUUAACUGUAACAAAUACACAGGGAAUCAAAUGCAUACUGGCUCUGAACUGACCAAAAAAUACCAAACAUCAUUAGACAGGGCAGAGGUGGUGGACCUGAGCAGGAUUGGGUCUUGAUUUCCCCUCUGCCUCCCCUCCCAGAGGGAUGCUGAGCUCUUGCUUAAACAAGCGGCAGCGAGUAGGAGAUGCUGACCUUCAGCCCGAACAGCACGAGCCGAGGAGGGAGCAAGCUCUGCCAACACAGAUGCACCUUAAAAAUUGAACUUUGGCUUCAAGCAGCACAAACACACGUCCUGAUUGUACCUCGUACUGCCCGUUAAGUCGCCCAGAUGACACUCAGUCUGGUGUUAAUAAGCCAUUUGUCCAUCUGGUGCUUGUACAAACAUGCCUUCUCAAUGGUAUUUCAAAAGUGACAAGUAUUAACUCUACAAAUGUCUGAAAAGAAAUUCCACAAAAAUCAACACCAAACUGUUGUUGCCAAACAUGGAUGUGACAAGAGCCAAACUGCACUGCGUAAAUCCUAACGUGCCUGCGCUGAUCCCAAGAAAGUGCUUAUUUGCAAAGUUUUCACUGGGAGAAAUCAAGAGCAGCAGCCGCUCACUUGACAUUGCACGAACUAAACAAUAAACAAGUACUGAGCACCUCCAGCCUCCAUACAGCACCAGCACUCUGACAACCCAG
This is a long non-coding RNA of Athene cunicularia (burrowing owl), 750 nucleotides long. RefSeq lists it as uncharacterized. The record is from RefSeq and is a predicted model, not a curated record. Lineage: Eukaryota; Metazoa; Chordata; Aves; Strigiformes; Strigidae. The transcript is spliced from 3 exons.